ACACUGCUGAGGAGUCCCACAAUAGGACGAAGCGGCCGUCCGAUGU
Molecule: non-coding RNA, 46 nt
Filed under: Schistosoma margrebowiei
Lineage: Eukaryota; Metazoa; Platyhelminthes; Trematoda; Strigeidida; Schistosomatidae
Source: RNAcentral